UCAAGAGACUCCUACAUAAUUGCUGUUGCCCUUGGUUACUUCCCAGAGGUUGAAGAUACAAGGGACAUUGCAUGACAAUAUCACAUUAGAAAAAUGUUUUGAUACAAGUACAUAGAGAUCUUGUUCUACAGACAGCAUUUUAAUGGGGCAUCCCAUGGCAGCUCCUUUGACCUUUAGUGUGGGAUUCUGUCAUCACUGAACCUUGUUGAG
This 210-nucleotide long non-coding RNA is filed under the name Rattus norvegicus (Norway rat). RNAcentral describes it as "long non-coding RNA NONRATT013613". The record is from RNAcentral. Lineage: Eukaryota; Metazoa; Chordata; Mammalia; Rodentia; Muridae.